CAGCCGCCACGGGAAUACAGAGGGUGCGAGCGUUAAUCGGAUUUACUGGGCGUAAAGCGUGCGUAGGCGGCUAAUUGAGUCGGAUGUGAAAUCCCUGAGCUUAACUUAGGAAUUGCAUUCGAUACUGGGAAGCUAGAGUAUGGGAGAGGAUGGUAGAAUUCCAGGUGUAGCGGUGAAAUGCGUAGAGAUCUGGAGGAAUACCGAUGGCGAAGGCAGCCAUCUGGCCUAAUACUGACGCUGAGGUACGAAAGCAUGGGGAGCAAACAGGAUUAGAUACCCCCGUAGUCCCUGUCUCUUAUAC
This 301-nucleotide ribosomal RNA is filed under the name uncultured bacterium. RNAcentral's name for it is "partial 16S ribosomal RNA". It matches the Rfam family "Bacterial small subunit ribosomal RNA", at positions 509 to 807 of the family's 1533-position model. The record is from RNAcentral.